UGGGGAAUAUUGCACAAUGGGCGCAAGCCUGAUGCAGCCAUGCCGCGUGUGUGAAGAAGGCCUUCGGGUUGUAAAGCACUUUCAGCGGGGAGGAAGGCGUUAAGGUUAAUAACCUUGGCGAUUGACGUUACCCGCAGAAGAAGCACCGGCUAACUCCGUGCCAGCAGCCGCGGUAAUACGGAGGGUGCAAGCGUUAAUCGGAAUUACUGGGCGUAAAGCGCACGCAGGCGGUCUGUCAAGUCGGAUGUGAAAUCCCCGGGCUCAACCUGGGAACUGCAUUCGAAACUGGCAGGCUAGAGUCUUGUAGAGGGGGGUAGAAUUCCAGGUGUAGCGGUGAAAUGCAUAGAGAUCUGGAGGAAUACCGGUGGCGAAGGCGGCCCCCUGGACAAAGACUGACGCUCAGGUGCGAAAGCGUGGGGAGCAAACAGG
This 429-nucleotide ribosomal RNA is filed under the name Chloroflexota bacterium. RNAcentral describes it as "Chloroflexi bacterium partial 16S ribosomal RNA". It matches the Rfam family "Bacterial small subunit ribosomal RNA", at positions 355 to 776 of the family's 1533-position model. Lineage: Bacteria; Bacillati; Chloroflexota. The record is from RNAcentral.